Long non-coding RNA from Platichthys flesus (European flounder), 438 nucleotides. RefSeq lists it as uncharacterized. The record is from RefSeq and is a predicted model, not a curated record. NCBI's taxonomy places the organism in Eukaryota, Metazoa, Chordata, Actinopteri, Pleuronectiformes, Pleuronectidae. The transcript has 2 exons.
AGCUCCGUAGCGGUGAGCAACAUCGCACAGCUCCUCCAGAGGACAUAUGGCACCUGAGAGCCCCAGAGAAUGAAGUGGCUUAAUUAGAAGUGUCAAGUGAAGGUGAACAGAUGGAGAUUUGGACGAUUUUCUGCUGCUGUAACAAGUGAACUUCCCUCAAGCUUUGGAUCAAUAAAGUUUAGCUUUAAUCAUCUAUAUUUACCUGGCAGCAUUUUAGCUAAGGUGAAGAGGGUGGAGUCGUUUGCCACGAAGCAGGAGGAGAAGACCAGAGCUGCGUCCUUCUGGUGCAGCUGGGAGAGCUCCUUCUCCAGAGACACGUGGAAGUUACUGGUGCCGGAGAUGUUCCUGGUCCCACCGGCUCCUGCGCCGUGUCUGUCCAGAGCGUCACUGAGAGGAUCCAGAGCAAAAUGGAAAAUAAAACACCAGCCUCACAAAAUC